RNAcentral lists this transfer RNA (71 nucleotides) under Lepisosteus oculatus (spotted gar). It matches the Rfam family "tRNA". Rfam says of the family: Transfer RNA (tRNA) molecules are approximately 80 nucleotides in length. Their secondary structure includes four short double-helical elements and three loops (D, anti-codon, and T loops). Lineage: Eukaryota; Metazoa; Chordata; Actinopteri; Semionotiformes; Lepisosteidae. The record is from Rfam by way of RNAcentral.
ACAUUGGAGGUUCAGUGGUAGAAUUCUCACCUGCCAUGUGGCAGGCCUGGGUUCAUUUCCUGGCCAAUGUA